UGUGAGCUCGAUGAGUAGGGCGGGACACGUGGUAUCCUGUCUGAAUAUGGGGGGACCAUCCUCCAAGGCUAAAUACUCCUGACUGACCGAUAGUGAACCAGUACCGUGAGGGAAAGGCGAAAAGAACCCCGGCGAGGGGAGUGAAAAAGAACCUGAAACCGUGUACGUACAAGCAGUGGGAGCCUCUUUAUGGGGUGACUGCGUACCUUUUGUAUAAUGGGUCAGCGACUUAUAUUCUGUAGCAAGGUUAACCGAAUAGGGGAGCCGAAGGGAAACCGAGUCUUAACUGGGCGUUAAGUUGCAGGGUAUAGACCCGAAACCCGGUGAUCUAGCCAUGGGCAGGUUGAAGGUUGGGUAACACUAACUGGAGGACCGAACCGACUAAUGUUGAAAAAUUAGCGGAUGACUUGUGGCUGGGGGUGAAAGGCCAAUCAAACCGGGAGAUAGCUGGUUCUCCCCGAAAGCUAUUUAGGUAGCGCCUCGUGAAUUCAUCUCCGGGGGUAGAGCACUGUUUCGGCAAGGGGGUCAUCCCGACUUACCAACCCGAUGCAAACUGCGAAUACCGGAGAAUGUUAUCACGGGAGACACACGGCGGGUGCUAACGUCCGUCGUGAAGAGGGAAACAACCCAGACCGCCAGCUAAGGUCCCAAAGUCAUGGUUAAGUGGGAAACGAUGUGGGAAGGCCCAGACAGCCAGGAUGUUGGCUUAGAAGCAGCCAUCAUUUAAAGAAAGCGUAAUAGCUCACUGGUCGAGUCGGCCUGCGCGGAAGAUGUAACGGGGCUAAACCAUGCACCGAAGCUGCGGCAGCGACACUAUGUGUUGUUGGGUAGGGGAGCGUUCUGUAAGCCUGUGAAGGUGUGCUGUGAGGCAUGCUGGAGGUAUCAGAAGUGCGAAUGCUGACAUAAGUAACGAUAAAGCGGGUGAAAAGCCCGCUCGCCGGAAGACCAAGGGUUCCUGUCCAACGUUAAUCGGGGCAGGGUGAGUCGACCCCUAAGGCGAGGCCGAAAGGCGUAGUCGAUGGGAAACAGGUUAAUAUUCCUGUACUUGGUGUUACUGCGAAGGGGGGACGGAGAAGGCUAUGUUGGCCGGGCGACGGUUGUCCCGGUUUAAGCGUGUAGGCUGGUUUUCCAGGCAAAUCCGGAAAAUCAAGGCUGAGGCGUGAUGACGAGGCACUACGGUGCUGAAGCAACAAAUGCCCUGCUUCCAGGAAAAGCCUCUAAGCAUCAGGUAACAUCAAAUCGUACCCCAAACCGACACAGGUGGUCAGGUAGAGAAUACCAAGGCGCUUGAGAGAACUCGGGUGAAGGAACUAGGCAAAAUGGUGCCGUAACUUCGGGAGAAGGCACGCUGAUAUGUAGGUGAAGCGACUUGCUCGUGGAGCUGAAAUCAGUCGAAGAUACCAGCUGGCUGCAACUGUUUAUUAAAAACACAGCACUGUGCAAACACGAAAGUGGACGUAUACGGUGUGACGCCUGCCCGGUGCCGGAAGGUUAAUUGAUGGGGUCAGCGCAAGCGAAGCUCUUGAUCGAAGCCCCGGUAAACGGCGGCCGUAACUAUAACGGUCCUAAGGUAGCGAAAUUCCUUGUCGGGUAAGUUCCGACCUGCACGAAUGGCGUAAUGAUGGCCAGGCUGUCUCCACCCGAGACUCAGUGAAAUUGAACUCGCUGUGAAGAUGCAGUGUACCCGCGGCAAGACGGAAAGACCCCGUGAACCUUUACUAUAGCUUGACACUGAACAUUGAGCCUUGAUGUGUAGGAUAGGUGGGAGGCUUUGAAGUGUGGACGCCAGUCUGCAUGGAGCCGACCUUGAAAUACCACCCUUUAAUGUUUGAUGUUCUAACGUGGACCCGUGAUCCGGGUUGCGGACAGUGUCUGGUGGGUAGUUUGACUGGGGCGGUCUCCUCCUAAAGAGUAACGGAGGAGCACGAAGGUUGGCUAAUCCUGGUCGGACAUCAGGAGGUUAGUGCAAUGGCAUAAGCCAGCUUGACUGCGAGCGUGACGGCGCGAGCAGGUGCGAAAGCAGGUCAUAGUGAUCCGGUGGUUCUGAAUGGAAGGGCCAUCGCUCAACGGAUAAAAGGUACUCCGGGGAUAACAGGCUGAUACCGCCCAAGAGUUCAUAUCGACGGCGGUGUUUGGCACCUCGAUGUCGGCUCAUCACAUCCUGGGGCUGAAGUAGGUCCCAAGGGUAUGGCUGUUCGCCAUUUAAAGUGGUACGCGAGCUGGGUUUAGAACGUCGUGAGACAGUUCGGUCCCUAUCUGCCGUGGGCGCUGGAGAACUGAGGGGGGCUGCUCCUAGUACGAGAGGACCGGAGUGGACGCAUCACUGGUGUUCGGGUUGUCAUGCCAAUGGCACUGCCCGGUAGCUAAAUGCGGAAGAGAUAAGUGCUGAAAGCAUCUAAGCACGAAACUUGCCCCGAGAUGAGUUCUCCCUGACUCCUUGAGAGUCCUGAAGGAACGUUGAAGACGACGACGUUGAUAGGCCGGGUGUGUAAGCGCAGCGAUGCGUUGAGCUAACCGGUACUAAUGAACCGUGAGGCUUAACCUUACAACGCCGAAG
This 2557-nucleotide ribosomal RNA is filed under the name Escherichia coli. RNAcentral describes it as "partial 23S ribosomal RNA". It matches the Rfam family "Bacterial large subunit ribosomal RNA", at positions 398 to 2925 of the family's 2925-position model. Lineage: Bacteria; Pseudomonadati; Pseudomonadota; Gammaproteobacteria; Enterobacterales; Enterobacteriaceae. The record is from RNAcentral.